UCAGAGGUGCACCGGACAAGAGUAACAGGGGGAGAAGCAAAACCUUCCGUGAAGCCUGGGAAAGGGAACGGUGCCGAAAGACGGUGAUGGUUUUGCGCUUCGUACUUGGCUUUUCCAUGAACAGUGGAACGGCUGUCAUCGGACAAACGUCUGGCGGAGCGCUG
Molecule: non-coding RNA, 164 nt
Filed under: bovine gut metagenome
Description: Lysine riboswitch
Rfam family: Lysine riboswitch aptamer
About the family: Riboswitches are metabolite binding domains within certain messenger RNAs that serve as precision sensors for their corresponding targets. Allosteric rearrangement of mRNA structure is mediated by ligand binding, and this results in modulation of gene expression. This family includes riboswitches that sense lysine in a number of genes involved in lysine metabolism, including lysC.
Source: RNAcentral